Molecule: non-coding RNA, 3927 nt
Organism: Heterocephalus glaber (naked mole-rat)
Lineage: Eukaryota; Metazoa; Chordata; Mammalia; Rodentia; Bathyergidae
Source: RefSeq, a predicted model, not a curated record
CCCGAUUCUGGGCUUCAGGGCCUGGGCUUCGAGGCCAGCACCUGCCGGUGAUCUGGCUGUGGGGGCCCUGGGUCUGCAUCAGGGGAUUUAACCCCUCUUGGGACCCCCCAAACAGGUGUCUUACCCCCUUUUACAGCCCAGGAACCAGAGGCCCAGCGGGGCUAAGAGGCUUGUCCACCAGCUGGCCUGUAGCAGAGUCAGAGACCCAGCUGGGUUUUAGCUGUGGACCCUGCGACGUCCGUGCUGGGUGGUGGGGGGUUUCAGAGGUCUCUAGUGGGGCUGGUGGGAGGUGAGGGCAGGCAGCAGCUCUUGGCUGGAGGGCCAUUGGCUUCUCCCAGGCAGGGUGGACAUGAAUUCAACUCUAAGGUGCUAGCCUGGAUCUGUGUCAGCUGUUUGGGUUUAGAGAUACUGAGUGAAGUCAAGUGUGCUGGGUCUGCUUCUGAUGCAGCUGUGGGCUGAUCAUGUUCCCCUAAGGCCUCAGUUCAGUCAUCUGUAAAAUGGGAAUACUCAUAGCCUUGAGUGAAAUAAAAGUCACGUAAAGGCUUGGAGGACAGGGGAGCAGAAGCUGGACCUGAGCUCCUCAGAACCAAGAAGCUGGGGGCAAGAGAGAGGGGCUGAGAUUUGGGAACUCAUGAGGACCUCCUAAAAACUACAGAGGCCUGGGCACUGCUGCAGGCUGAUUGAUGUGGAAUCUCCGGGCAGGCGCCAGGAAUCUGUCCUUUGAAGAGCUGCCCUGGUUUUCCAUGGGUGAGUGAGUGGCUGGGAAGUCCCGACCUUGUUCCACAAUUCAGCCAGGACAACCGAGACUCCAAGAGGGAGGGCCUUGCUCAGGGACACCCAGGAAGUUGGGGAAUGAGAUAGGGAAGAGCAGGAAGACAAUUUGAGAGGAAGGGGAGGCAAAGAUUGCUCUAUUUUGGGUAGGAGUUUGAGGUGCCCACAAGACAGCCAGGGCUGGUAAAUGGAGGUGGAGUGAGGUCUGGCCCCGAGAUGAGGUUUGCAAGCCGUGAGCUUACUGGUGGUGCUGAGGGAGCUGUGGAAGUAGAUAGAUGAGUUUACUGGGAGAGAGUCCUGGGCCCUUUCAUACUCGGCUCAGUAGAACAGGGUCCAGUAGGCGUGGGGCCAUGGGAGCCAGGCGAUGACAGCGGGGUAGUCACUGCGUCACCUGGGUAAGCAGAUGGCUGUCACGUCCCCAUUGAAUUUGGAAAAUGAGGCCAUCAACUUGGAGCAGAGCAGGCUAACCAGAAGGGGAUGGACAAGACCAAUGAGAGAGGGCUCAAGGAGGGUUGAGGAAGUUGGAUGAGUAUGACUGCAGGCCCCUGCCAGUCUGGCCAUGCCUGGGAGCAGAAGUACGGGAAGAUCGUUUCACACCGAGGUGGCAGACUUGUGUCCUGAGGGAGUGUCCAGCACACAGGCAAGACAGGCAGUGCUAGAGCGAGCGAGUGAGCCGGUGACCUGCUGUGAGACUGGGUCUGAGUGCGACCUGCACCAACACUCACAGUCAGCGGGCUGAACAAACAACAGCUCAGCGUGUCCCUCUCUGCAGGGUCCCUCUGCUUUCUGCCUGGAGCGCUGUGUCCUCCCCAUGCCCUGGCUGUGUUCCCCUCAUGCUUACCGGUGCCAGCUGCCUGCCCUGUGGUCCACGGGCCCGUGGGACCUGAGGGCGUGGGGAUCACUUUCUGCAGGGUCUCAGACUUGGUGCUGGUGGAAGACAGGACUGAGCCUGUCCUGCUACCGUGUGCCACCUCUCGUUGUGCUCCUAUCCAUGAGGAAGAAUUUUGUCCUAAAAACCGAGUUUCUGUUAUCUAUAAACAAGUGGAUUGUUGGCCGGGAAUGUGCCCUGGACCCCAGGGGUAGGACGGAGGUCCUCAUAGCAAAGGCAGUUCAGACCCCAGGGGAGGAAGAGCUCAGUGCCCCUUUGGGCCCCAGAAGAUCUCAUGCCUGGUGUCUGGCACUGCCUGGCCCUUCCCUGCCCCGACCCCUCCCAAGAAGGGCACAGGGGCAGGAAGUGCCAGCUGGAGCAGAGUGAAGGAGGCAGCUGUGGGUCAGCAGGAAACGGGAUGGUCUGUGAGGCCAGAUUAGCAGCAGCCAGGAGGGAGGGACAAUGCGGCUUCGGGGGAGGGCUGUAAGAGCGAGGCAGGGGACUCCUGCCCACCUCUUGUAGAGAGAGGGAGGCUGACCUGGGAGGGGUCCUGUGUACUCAGCUAUGGGCUUGGGGGCUGGUGGACCCAGGGCUAGACCCUGAUGUGGCCGGUCUCUACCUGUGUGACCUCUAAGCCUCUUCCCUUACCUGUGAAAGUCUUCAGUUCAGACUUUUCAGGGCUGUCCCGGAUCAAAAGGACAGUGGAAACCAAUGACGGUAACACGUCUUAGUGAAUGCAUCUCUCGAAGUGUGAUCUCUCCAGCAUCUGCCUCAGAAUCACUCGGGUGGGUAGAGGAGCCAGAAAUGAAGAUUUCUGGGCCCCACCCUAGGCUGAUGGCAGAUGGCAGACAAUGGGACACCGAGACCUACAUGUUGGCAGCCCACCAGGCAAAGUGUCUGUGCUCACAUUGGAGAACCACAGUCUCCCUGGUGCUGGUGGUGCGCUGGGCUCUCUCUGGGGCUUCUCAUUUGACCCUCAGGACAACCUCAGUGCUAUUGUCAGCCUGUUACAGAGAUGGGGAAACUGAGGCUUGGAGUCAAGGGCUCCCUCCCUAAGAACUUGGAGCUUUUUAGCAGAAUGCCCAUUACGAACCAGAGCUCAGUCUCCAGAGGGCAGCACCUUAUCUGCCCAGCUUUCCUGCCCCACCACAGCUGUGUGGAUAGCAUAGUGUCAGAUCAUAGUAGCUGCUCAUGAAACAAAAUUCUCUGGAAUUCUGUACUGGACAGGAAGGCAGGGGAGUGACGCCCUUCGUUCCGGCAGAAGUGGUCGCUGUUCAGCUGCUGUGCUUCUUUCUUUUCCCCUCUGCUUGCAGAGCCACCCCCACCCCCAGUUGUCUCCACUUCGAUCUCACUUCCUCCAUGUGCCUGUCAGCCCUGGGCACAGCCCAGGCCUCACCCAUCUGCUGCACCCUCUCCUCCUCUCCAUGUGUCUCCUUUGCAUCCCUGUCCCCACAGCGGGCAUAGAUGGGUGGACUUGGAGCUGUGCACCCCUAGAACCAGCACCAGUCCACUGGGGCUGCCUGGUGUGGGGGUCUCUUUGCCUCUGCCCCCUGCCUGCCUGGCCCACGCUGGCUGUGGCCAGCGACACUGCGCUUCUUUCCUUCCUCUUUGUGGUGUUUUAUCUGGAGUACCCAAUACUCAUGCUUGUUUUUUAAUUUUUAAAAUUUCUUAUUGGUAUAUUUGCAAUGCAUAAUAAUUAACAUUUGUAUUGGGGAAUUGGUACAUGUAUAUAUCCUCUCUUGAUCAUUUCAAUCUCCUUUCCCUUCUCCUCUCCUCUCUUCCUCUGGCCCCCUUUCCCAUCUCCACAAUCUCCCUCUUGGCUACCAUCUCUUCUUUAUUUUACUCUAUAAUUUAUUUAUAUUUUAGGUUUCCCAAAUAAGAGAAAUCAUUCCAUAUUGAACCUUCUAUGCCUGACUUAUUUCACUUAAUAUGAUGAUCUCACGAUUCAUCCAUUUUCCUACAAAUGACUUGAAUUUAGCCUUCUUUAUGGCUGAAUAAUACUCCAUUGCUUGAGCUGAGUAACCAUAACACACAGAAGUGAGGGGUGAAGUUGGAGCCUCCUGGGAACACAGCUGGAUUACGUCACAAGCCCAGAGUGGCCCUGCCUACUUCAAACCAGGCUCAUGUUCUGCAGAGCGUCGCUGAACACUCCGAGCUGCUCCAGCAUCCUGCCUCUGAGCCUUAGUCCUUGCUAUUCGUGCCUCUGAGGGUGCUCGUCCUCCCUUCCUCAGCUAGCCCAAGUCUUCUGGCCUUUCCGCGCCCAGCUUAAUUACACCGCUCCUCCACCA